GAUGAAGAACGCAGUGAAAUGCGAUAAGUAAUGUGAAUUGCAGAAUUCAGUGAAUCAUCGAAUCUUUGAACGCACCUUGCGCUCCUUGGUAUUCCGAGGAGCAUGCCUGUUUGAGUGUCAUUAAAUUCUCAACUAUUAUCAGCUUUAGCUGAUAAUGGCUUGGAUAUGGGGGUUUAUUUUGCUGGCUUCUUCACAGAUUGUCAGCUCCCCUUAAAUGCAUUAGCCGGUGCCCCGCGUGGACUGUCUAUUGGUGUGAUAAUUAUCUACGCCGUGGACAUCUACAAUCAUAUGGGUUUGCACUGCUUCCAACCGUCUGUUUAUUCAGACAAUACAUGACAAUUUGACCUCAAAUCAGGUAGGACUACCCGCUGAACUUAAGCAUAUCAAUAAGCGGAGGA
This 398-nucleotide unclassified non-coding RNA is filed under the name soil metagenome. RNAcentral's name for it is "partial contains 5.8S ribosomal RNA, internal transcribed spacer 2, and large subunit ribosomal RNA". The stretch from base 1 to 120 matches the Rfam family "5.8S ribosomal RNA", at positions 35 to 154 of the family's 154-position model. The record is from RNAcentral.